Molecule: long non-coding RNA, 1041 nt
Organism: Vidua macroura (Pin-tailed whydah)
Lineage: Eukaryota; Metazoa; Chordata; Aves; Passeriformes; Viduidae
Exons: 2
Source: RefSeq, a predicted model, not a curated record
UAAAACUGUUUAAGUAGAAAUGAAGAUGGCAGAAAAAGAUGCUCUUCAAGAGUGAAGCCAGAUAUUUUACAUUUGAGCAAUCAGAAAACUCUCAGGCAUAAUUGUCAAGAAAAUCAUCACAAGGAUAACAGAACACUGGAAUCUGGACCUGGAGUGUGUUAAUUCCUGUGAGGACAACAACUUUAAGUCACAAUGAAACAGUUCUUCCCCCACGCCAUGUGGCCCGACCAAAGCACACCCCAUACUGCUGAGCCUCUCCUGUGGUGUGAGGAUGAAGUGGCCUCGCUGGAUUAUGUUGUCUUGUUGGAGCUACUAGAGCAGGGACUCAAAAGCCACAGGGGGACUUGUUGAUACUUUGUUUGGAAAACUGAAGUUUCGAUUUUUUUGGGAAACAGAGUAGAGCAAGAAGAGCUGCAUGGAGUUUAGUCAAAUGCUUUGCCAGAUAGCUGGGGUAUGUAUUUACUGAGCCUCCAAUUAAUUAAGCCAAACUUAAUUGGGACUAAAAGUGCAGACUGUAACAACUGACAAAAUGCAAAAGUAUGCAAAGUUGUUAAUUGUACUAUAAAAUAACACACCAACUUGUUUUCCGAUAUUUUACUUAGCAUUUUACUCAAGAAUGGCUAAAAUUUUCAUGUCCCCUGUGAAGGAAUCAGAUAUUUAUAGAAAAGUAAUAGUUUAGUAAUAGAGUAAUAAAUAUACAGUCAUGAGAGUAGUGACGAGUCUUUCCAUGGCUAUAUAGUCAUUUCUGUUGUUCUCAACAUAUGAUGUACUAUACCUUAAAAUUUUAUAGGCUUGUUUUAAAUAACUUGUGAAAAGAGUAGCAAUUAUGAGUUAUUUGGUUAAAUAAGUUGAUUUGUACAUCCCAGUAGCUGCUUACUCCAUAAUGCUGUUUUUUUUUACAUUUGCCUUGUAGUAACUAUAGAUUUCUUUGGAACGUUUGUGUUCGUAUUCAUACAACAUGAUGAGCUUGGAGGAAAAUUUAUGUGUAUUGAAGUUGGUGUAUAUGUUUAAUAAUAAAUUAAUUUUUAAUGUCUUACCAUC